AGAGCAUAGGGUGGAUGCCUAUGGCACUAGGCGCCGAAGAAGGACGUGACAAGCUGCGAAAAGCUGCGACUAGUCGCAAAUAGACGUAUUAAGUCGCAGAUCUCCGAAUGGGGCAACCCCCUUGGGAAAACCCCAAGGAUCUCUUCCCCAAUCCAUUAAGGAAGAGAGGGAAUAGCCCGUGAACUGAAACAUCUAAGUAACGGGACGAAAAGAAAGAAACAUCGAUUCUCCAAGUAGCGGCGAGCGAACGGGGAAAAGCCCAAAUUGCCACAGAAGACUUUGGACCCUUAGACGAACUGUCCUGGGAAGGCAGACCACAGACGGUGAAAGUCCGGUAGUCGAAAAGGAGACGAAGUUGUGGCUAAAAGAGUACUACGGGACACGAGAAACCCCGUAGGAAGACGGGAGGACCUCCUCCCAAGGCUAAAUACGACCUAGUGACCGAUAGUGAACAAGUACCGUGAGGGAAAGGUGAAAAGAACCCCGGGAGGGGAGUGAAAUAGAACCUGAAACCCCAUGCUUACAAGCAGCGGGAGCUCGUUAAGGAGUGACCGCGUACUUUUUGUAGAACGGGCCAGCGAGUUAUGAUAAGAAGCAAGGUUAAGAGGCAAAGCCUCGGAGCCGUAGGGAAACCGAGUCUUAAUAGGGCGAAAGAGUUUCUUGUCAUAGACCCGAAACCGGGUGAUCUAUCCAUGGGCAGAGUGAAGUUUCGGUAAAACGAAAUGGAGGCUCGAACCGGGUAUGGUUUAAAACAUAUCGGAUGACCUGUGGAUAGGGGUGAAAAGCCAAUCGAACCCGGAUAUAGCUGGUUCUCCUCGAAAUAGCUUUAGGGCUAGCCUUCAGGAAGAGUCUGCGGGAGGUAGAGCACUGAUUGAUCGCGGGGCACGUGGUGUUACCAAGAUCUAUCAAACUCCGAAUACCCGUAAGAUACCCUGAGGAGUCAGACAUGGUGGGAUAAGCUUCCAUGUCGAAAGGGAAAGAGCCCAGCCCAUCAGCUAAGGUCCCAAAAUUCGAAUUAAGUGGUAAAGGAUGUAAUGCUACCGAGACAACCAGGAUGUUGGCUUAGAAGCAGCCAUACAUUGAAAGAGUGCGUAAUAGCUCACUGGUCAAGUGGAAUUGCGCCGAAGAUUUCCGGGGCUAAAAUUCGAUACCGAAGCUAUGGAUACCUAGCAAUAGGUAUGGUAGAGGAGCAACGUGUGGUAGGACGAAGCAUGAUCGAAAGGACAUGUGGACGAAACACGAGAGAGAAUGCUGGCAUGAGUAACGAGAAGGCGAGUGAGAAUCUCGCCCGUCGAAAGCCCAAGGUUUCCUGGGGAAGGCUCGUCCACCCAGGGUAAGUCGGGACCUAAGGCGAGGCCGAAAGGCGUAGUCGAUGGAAGACAGGUGGAAAUUCCUGUACUAUCCGAGGUAUUAAGAGAAGUGGUGACGCAGGAGGAUACGUCAAGCGCACGGAUGGAAGAGUGCGUUCAAGCGUCAAGGCAGGGAAGAUAGGCAAAUCCGUUUUCCUAAUGCCAAGGCGUGAUGAGGAUCGAAAAUGAAGUAGAGAAGUGACCUAGUUCACACUGCCAAGAAAAGCCGCUAUCGCACCAAGGAUACCCGUACCGCAAACCGACACAGGUAGGCAAGAAGAGAAUUCUAAGACGCGCGGAAGAACCUCUGUUAAGGAACUCGGCAAAAUGACCCCGUAACUUCGGGAGAAGGGGUGCCGAAAGAUGUUUUGUACACGUACGAUGCAUCCUUCGGCCGCAGUGAAACGGCCCAAGCGACUGUUUACCAAAAACACAAGUAUCUGCCAAAUCGAAAGAUGACGUAUAGGUGCUGACACCUGCCCGGUGCUGCGGCGGCCGUAACUAUAACGGUCCUAAGGUAGCGAAAUUCCUUGUCGGGUAAGUUCCGACCCGCACGAAAGGUGUAACGAUUUGGGCACUGUCUCAACAGAGGAUCCGGUGAAAUUGUAGUAUGCGUGAAGAUGCGCAUUACCCACGACAGGACGGAAAGACCCCGUGGAGCUUUACUGCAGGCUGAUAUUGGAUUUCGGCAUAGGAUGUACAGGAUAGGUGGGAGACUAAGAACUUAGAGCGUCAGUUUUAAGGGAGUCGCCGUUGGGAUACCACCCUUUCUGUGCUGGAAUUCUAACCUGGUACCGUAAGCCGGUACAGGGACACUGUCAGUUGGGCAGUUUGACUGGGGCGGUCGCCUCCUAAAGAGUAACGGAGGCGUUCAAAGGUUCGCUCAGAAUGGUUAGAAAUCAUUCGCAGAGUGCAAAGGCAAAAGCGAGCUUAACUGCGACACCCACAAGUGGAGCAGAUGCGAAAGCAGGACUUAGUGAUCCGGUGGUACCGCGAGGAAGGGCCAUCGCUCAACGGAUAAAAGCUACCCCGGGGAUAACAGGCUUAUCUCCCCCAAGAGUCCACAUCGACGGGGAGGUUUGGCACCUCGAUGU
Molecule: ribosomal RNA, 2443 nt
Filed under: human gut metagenome
Description: bacterial LSU rRNA
Rfam family: Bacterial large subunit ribosomal RNA
Source: RNAcentral